AGGUUAACCGUAUAGGGGAGCCGUAGAGAAAUCGAGUCUUAAUAGGGCGUUUAGUUGCUGGGUAUAGACCCGAAACCAGGCGAUCUAUCCAUGAGCAGGUUGAAGGUUGGGUAACACUAACUGGAGGACCGAACCCACUGUCGUUGAAAAGCCAGGGGAUGACUUGUGGAUAGGGGGGAAAGGCUAAUCAAGCCUGGUGAUAGCUGGUUCUCCCCGAAAGCUAUUUAGGUAGCGCCUCGGACGAAUACCAUAGGGGGUAGAGCACUGUUUCGGCUAGGGGGUCAUCCCGACUUACCAAACCGAUGCAAACUCCGAAUACCUAUGAGUACUAUCCGGGAGACAGACUGCGGGUGCUAACGUCCGUAGUCAAGAGGAAAACAAUCCAGACCGCCAGCUAAGGCCCCAAAAUCAUAGUUAAGUGGGAAACGAUGUGGGAAGGCAUAGACAGCUAGGAGGUUGGCUUAGAAGCAGCCACCCUUUAAAGAAAGCGUAAUAGCUCACUAGUCGAGUCGGCCUGCGCGGAAGAUGUAACGGGGCUAAAACUAUGUGCCGAAGCUGCGGAUUUGACAUUAGUCAAGUGGUAGGGGAGCGUUCUGUAAGCCGAUGAAGGUGUAUUGAGAAGUAUGCUGGAGGUAUCAGAAGUGCGAAUGCUGACGUGAGUAACGACAAAACGGGUGAAAAACCCGUUCGCCGAAAGACCAAGGGUUCCAGUCCAACGUUAAUCGGGGCUGGGUGAGUCGACCCCUAAGGCGAGGCCGAAAGGCGUAGUCGAUGGGAAAAUGGUUAAUAUUCCAUUACUUCUGUGUAAUGCGAUGAGAGGACGGAGAAGGCUAAAUCAGCCUGGCGUUGGUUGUCCAGGUGAAAGGAUGUAGGCAUGUAUCUUAGGCAAAUCCGGGGUACUCUAUGCUGAGAUCUGAUAGCAAGCUGUACUUGUACAGCGAAGUGGUUGAUGCCAUGCUUCCAGGAAAAGUCUCUAAGCUUCAGUUACACAGGAAUCGUACCCGAAACCGACACAGGUGGUCAGGUCGAGUAGACCAAGGCGCUUGAGAGAACUCUGCUGAAGGAACUAGGCAAAAUGGUACCGUAACUUCGGGAGAAGGUACGCUGUUGUUGGUGAUGGAACUCGCUUCCUGAGCUGACGACAGCCGCAGAAACCAGGCCGCUGCAACUGUUUAUUAAAAACAUAGCACUCUGCAAACACGAAAGUGGACGUAUAGGGUGUGAUGCCUGCCCGGUGCUGGAAGGUUAAUUGAUGGGGUUAGCGUAAGCGAAGCUCUUGAUCGAAGCCCCAGUAAACGGCGGCCGUAACUAUAACGGUCCUAAGGUAGCGAAAUUCCUUGUCGGGUAAGUUCCGACCUGCACGAAUGGCAUAAUGAUGGCGGCGCUGUCUCCAGCAGAGGCUCAGUGAAAUCGAAAUCGCUGUGAAGAUGCAGUGUACCCGCGGCUAGACGGAAAGACCCCGUGAACCUUUACUGCAGCUUGACACUGAACUUUGACCUUACUUGUGUAGGAUAGGUGGGAGGCUUUGAAGCUGGAACGCUAGUUCCAGUGGAGCCGUCCUUGAAAUACCACCCUGGUAAUGUUGAGGUUCUAACUCUGUCCCGUGAUCCGGGACGAGGACCGUGUCUGGUGGGUAGUUUGACUGGGGCGGUCUCCUCCUAAAGAGUAACGGAGGAGUACGAAGGUGCGCUCAGCGUGGUCGGAAAUCACGCGUAGAGUAUAAAGGCAAAAGCGCGCUUAACUGCGAGACCCACAAGUCGAGCAGGUACGAAAGUAGGUCUUAGUGAUCCGGUGGUUCUGUAUGGAAGGGCCAUCGCUCAACGGAUAAAAGGUACUCUGGGGAUAACAGGCUGAUACCGCCCAAGAGUUCAUAUCGACGGCGGUGUUUGGCACCUCGAUGUCGGCUCAUCUCAUCCUGGGGCUGAAGCAGGUCCCAAGGGUAUGGCUGUUCGCCAUUUAAAGAGGUACGCGAGCUGGGUUUAGAACGUCGUGAGACAGUUCGGUCCCUAUCUACCGUGGGCGCUGGAAAUUUGAGAGGAUCUGCUCCUAGUACGAGAGGACCAGAGUGGACGAACCUCUGGUGUACCGGUUGUGACGCCAGUCGCAUCGCCGGGUAGCUAUGUUCGGAAGGGAUAACCGCUGAAAGCAUCUAAGCGGGAAGCCUACCUCAAGAUAAGAUUUCCCUAGGACUUUAUGUCCUCUAAAGAGCCGUUCGAGACUAGGACGUUGAUAGGUUGGAUGUGGAAGCAUAGUGAUAUGUGAAGCUGACCAAUACUAAUUGCUCGUGAGGCUUGACUAUACAACACCCAAGCAGUUG
RNAcentral lists this ribosomal RNA (2317 nucleotides) under Acinetobacter baumannii. RNAcentral's name for it is "partial 23S ribosomal RNA". It matches the Rfam family "Bacterial large subunit ribosomal RNA", at positions 643 to 2925 of the family's 2925-position model. Lineage: Bacteria; Pseudomonadati; Pseudomonadota; Gammaproteobacteria; Moraxellales; Moraxellaceae. The record is from RNAcentral.